RNAcentral lists this ribosomal RNA (496 nucleotides) under uncultured bacterium. RNAcentral's name for it is "partial 16S ribosomal RNA". It matches the Rfam family "Bacterial small subunit ribosomal RNA", at positions 28 to 507 of the family's 1533-position model. The record is from RNAcentral.
GAUGAACGCUGGCGGCGUGCCUAAUACAUGCAAGUCGAGCGAACAGACGAGGAGCUUGCUCCUCUGACGUUAGCGGCGGACGGGUGAGUAACACGUGGAUAACCUACCUAUAAGACUGGGAUAACUUCGGGAAACCGGAGCUAAUACCGGAUAAUAUAUUGAACCGCAUGGUUCAAUAGUGAAAGACGGUUUUGCUGUCACUUAUAGAUGGAUCCGCGCCGCAUUAGCUAGUUGGUAAGGUAACGGCUUACCAAGGCAACGAUGCGUAGCCGACCUGAGAGGGUGAUCGGCCACACUGGAACUGAGACACGGUCCAGACUCCUACGGGAGCAGCAGUAGGGAAUCUUCCGCAAAGGGCGAAAGCCUGACGGAGCAACGCCGCGUGAGUGAUGAAGGUCUUCGGAUCGUAAAACUCUGUUAUUAGGGAAGAACAAAUGUGUAAGUAACUAUGCACGUCUUGACGGUACCUAAUCAGAAAGCCACGGCUAACUACGUG